UGCAGAGAUAAGUUUCGCUGUUUGAUUUUGUAUUUUUCAAUGAAGUCGUUUAUGAGUUUGACUAUUGAUUGAAAUAAGUGUACCUUUGGGACAUGCUUUGUUGUUGUGAGACUUAUGUAAAUCACUGCAUUGAUUUUAAACUUAGUUUUCGAAUAUGGCUGCAACUGGAAGGUUCUAUUUUGUGUCAGACCGGACAGUUGAAAAUGUUCGAAAAGAUAGAGUGCCAAAGAAUACCAUAAGGCACACUACGUGGAGUACAAAUGUGUACAACGCGUGGGUUAAAGAGAGGAACGAGCAGUUUCAGAGGAUUCCAAAUUUAGACUCUAUUAAUUUGGAAGAAAUUAAUUACUGGCUGAGCAAAUUUGCUGUAGAAGUGAGGAAGAAAGAUGGCAGCGAUUACAGACACGAAGUACUGUAUAGCUUGUUUUGUGGUAUGAACCGUACGAUCCAAGAAAGCAAGCCUGAAAUAAGCUUGUUUACAACGCCACAAUUAAAGCCAUUUCAAAACGCGUUAGACGGGCGACUAAAAGAGCUUCAAGGAGCCACUGCUAGUCACGUAAAUAUAAACAUAAAUAUAAACGGACGUUGAUAGCAUGAAUUUUACAGUUGGUCUUGAGUUGGAGUUUGACGUUUAAUUGUUUAGCAAAGUCAUACUUGUGUACAUUUAAAAUUUAAUAUGUUGAAUAAAAUUGUUGAGUGUUUUAGGUUUUCCGUUUGCAUUAAAUAUGGAAGCGGGAAAUUUAGUAAAAGACAAGGGAUUUCUUUGUCUACUAAUCAUCCCGUGCAUUUUUGAUGAGGGAAGAUUAGUAGACAAAGAAAUCUUUUGUUUUUUACUAAAUUUCCAGGGGAAAUUUAGUAGACAAAGCGAAAUAUUCCCUGUUGCAUGCGUAAUGAGGAAAAUACGGGAUUUAAAUUCCCUAUGAGAACAAUAGAAAACGAGGCGAUCAUGAUAUUAUAAAAUUAAAAUAAAAUACGAUCCUGUGUGGUAGCUAUUUUCUC
Molecule: non-coding RNA, 999 nt
Organism: Paramuricea clavata
Lineage: Eukaryota; Metazoa; Cnidaria; Anthozoa; Malacalcyonacea; Plexauridae
Source: the annotation of a GenBank genome assembly